GGUGAAGUGUUCGGAUCGAGGCGACGUGGGCGGUUCGCCGCCGACGACGUCGCGAGAAGUCCACUGAACCUUAUCAUUUAGAGGAAGGAGAAGUCG
This 96-nucleotide ribosomal RNA is filed under the name Conocarpus sericeus. Its description in RNAcentral is "partial 18S ribosomal RNA". Lineage: Eukaryota; Viridiplantae; Streptophyta; Magnoliopsida; Myrtales; Combretaceae. The record is from RNAcentral.